GGCUGUGAGGAACUACUGUCUUCACGCAGAAAGCGUCUAGCCAUGGCGUUAGUAUGAGUGUCGUGCAGCCUCCAGCC
RNAcentral lists this unclassified non-coding RNA (77 nucleotides) under synthetic construct. RNAcentral's name for it is "HCV IRES DOMAIN II from synthetic construct (PDB 2AGN, chain C)". The record is from RNAcentral.